GUGACAGCCCCGUACACAAAAAUGCACAUACUGUGAGCUCGAUGAGUAGGGCGGGACACGUGGUAUCCUGUCUGAAUAUGGGGGGACCAUCCUCCAAGGCUAAAUACUCCUGACUGACCGAUAGUGAACCAGUACCGUGAGGGAAAGGCGAAAAGAACCCCGGCUAGGGGAGUGAAAAAGAACCUGAAACCGUGUACGUACAAGCAGUGGGAGCCUCUUUAUGGGGUGACUGCGUACCUUUUGUAUAAUGGGUCAGCGACUUAUAUUCUGUAGCAAGGUUAACCGAAUAGGGGAGCCGAAGGGAAACCGAGUCUUAACUGGGCGUUAAG
This 329-nucleotide ribosomal RNA is filed under the name Escherichia fergusonii. RNAcentral describes it as "bacterial LSU rRNA". It matches the Rfam family "Bacterial large subunit ribosomal RNA", at positions 364 to 699 of the family's 2925-position model. The record is from RNAcentral. Lineage: Bacteria; Pseudomonadati; Pseudomonadota; Gammaproteobacteria; Enterobacterales; Enterobacteriaceae.